This is a non-coding RNA of Paramuricea clavata, 1060 nucleotides long. The record is from the annotation of a GenBank genome assembly. NCBI's taxonomy places the organism in Eukaryota, Metazoa, Cnidaria, Anthozoa, Malacalcyonacea, Plexauridae.
CGACUUUUCCGCUUUGCUCGGGGGACAACCUUAAUUGAAAUAGCUGUAUACAAAAAAGAACAAUUCACAAUUUUCAAUGUCCAGUGAUAUGUCACUCAGCAUAAGCCUCGCAGUGCCUCGGAAGGUCAUCUCCAAUUGGAUGGGGGUUUUCUAAAGAACGAAGCAAUUCAUUGUUGUAAACACAAAAGCAAUUGUCAAAUCGAGCCAAUGAAAAUCACUCUUCCGAGCUACUGCGAGGCUACCCUAUGCUGCAUAUGUAUUGUACAAAAUUUUAGUCUAAAAGGAGUUUUAAUAAUUUUAGCCUAUAGGGAAGCCUUUUGUCCACGAGAAACAUCAUAUGUUCGUUUGAGGGGGGGGUUGCAGCUGUGACGUUUCUCUGCAAAACAUCAUGGAAAAGUUCGAUAGUUUUUUCGAAACCCUUACCAUUUCGGAAUCAUCUUUGCAGAAUAUAAAAGAGAAACCAACUUGAUAAAAACAUCAGUCUAUACAUUCGAAAUGCCAUACAUGUUCUAUACAUUUAUAUUAUUACGCCUUCCGGCCUUGCAUUGAAAACACUCAAAUUUCAAGAAAAACGCGCUAAAAUUGUCAAUGUUUCAUCCAAUGAUGCAAAAGAAGUUGUUUUGAGAAACGUUGGAAAUUUUGAAGUUCAUGUGUAUUAAUAAAAAACAUAUGUCAGCAGAAGAUGACAUAUUCCUCGCGGAAGCAUCGCUAAUAGGCGACCGUAGAAAAUAGUAGAAAAUUACCUCAUGUGUACUAUAAGAACAGAAUAUCGAUAACUAUGUGUGACAUUUCUAAGGAGUAAGGGGGUCCAUAUUACGUUUCUCGUGGACAAAAUCAAUAUGUGAGUAUUUUAGUUUGCACAUUACAGAAUCGUGUAAAGAAUAUAUACCACCGGGUGGCGCAAAAAAAAGUAUAACUGUUUGAUUACAUAUAGCUCAAAGACCAUAAGCAGUAGAACCCAAAAUCGAGUUGCAUUGCAUCCAGCGAUGUCUAACUUAAAUUUUGGUAUACUCGACAGGCAUUUUCGUCCAAGAUUGACUGAGAUAUGAGUGUUUAAACU